AACGCGAAGAACCUUACCAGGUCUUGACAUCCCAAUGGCCGCUUUAGAGAUAGAGCCUUCCCUUCGGGGACAUUGGUGACAGGUGGUGCAUGGUUGUCGUCAGCUCGUGUCGUGAGAUGUUGGGUUAAGUCCCGCAACGAGCGCAACCCUUGAUCUUAGUUGCCAGCAUUGAGUUGGGCACUCUAAGGUGACUGCCGGUGACAAACCGGAGGAAGGUGGGGAUGACGUCAAAUCAUCAUGCCCCUUAUGACCUGGGCUACACACGUGCUACAAUGGAUGGUACAAAGGGCAGCGAGACCGCAAGGUGGAGCGAAUCCCAUAAAACCAUUCUCAGUUCGGAUUGCAGGCUGCAACUCGCCAGCAUGAAGCCGGAAUCGCUAGUAAUCGCGGAUCAGCAUGCCGCGGUGAAUACGUUCCCGGGCCUUGUACACACCGA
RNAcentral lists this ribosomal RNA (436 nucleotides) under uncultured Bacillus sp. Its description in RNAcentral is "bacterial SSU rRNA". It matches the Rfam family "Bacterial small subunit ribosomal RNA", at positions 958 to 1393 of the family's 1533-position model. Lineage: Bacteria; Bacillati; Bacillota; Bacilli; Caryophanales; Bacillaceae. The record is from RNAcentral.